GACGAACGCUGGCGGCGUGCCUAAUACAUGCAAGUAGAACGCAGUUGCGAACGGGUGAGUAACGCGUAGGUACCUGCCUCAAAGCGGGGGAUAACUAUGGGAAACGAUAGCUAAUACCGAAUACCGUGAGAAGGACCUGCGUUGUCUUAGCUAGUUGGUGAGGUAAAGGGUUACCAAGGCGACGAUACAUACACGACCUGAGAGGGUGUUCGGCCACCCUGGGACUGGAGCACGGGCCCAGCUCCUACGGGAGGCAGCAGUUGGGGAUCUUUGGGAAAUGGCGGAAGGCUUGCCGAGGCACGCCGCGUGAGUGGAGGAGGUUUUCGGGUCGUGAAGCUCUGGUGGUUGGGAAGCGGUAUCUAACCAGAAAGGCACGGCUAACUACGUGCCAGCAGCCGCGGUAAUUC
Molecule: ribosomal RNA, 407 nt
Filed under: uncultured bacterium
Lineage: Bacteria
Description: partial 16S ribosomal RNA
Rfam family: Bacterial small subunit ribosomal RNA
Source: RNAcentral